Molecule: long non-coding RNA, 225 nt
Organism: Panthera uncia (snow leopard)
Lineage: Eukaryota; Metazoa; Chordata; Mammalia; Carnivora; Felidae
Exons: 3
Source: RefSeq, a predicted model, not a curated record
GUACGCGGCGUGCCACUUCGCACCGCGCCUGCGGGGACUGUGAGGACCCCUCUCUGUUUGGCUCUCGCAGGGAACACACGGGGAGCUUAAGAAUAAGCUGGAACAAGUGAGCAAAACUCGACUUCAUGUGCUUCCUGCUUCAUCCUGCACCUGCCUUCUUGAAAGAAAACAAGACAUCAGAUACUUAUUCAAAUAAUGGAAGAGCUGAUCAACUAGGUCUCCACA